Long non-coding RNA from Hemicordylus capensis (graceful crag lizard), 477 nucleotides. RefSeq lists it as uncharacterized. The record is from RefSeq and is a predicted model, not a curated record. The transcript is spliced from 4 exons. NCBI's taxonomy places the organism in Eukaryota, Metazoa, Chordata, Lepidosauria, Squamata, Cordylidae.
GGAAGACAGGAUUGCUACAUCUUUAAGGCAUUUCAACAAUUAGAGAUUUUCUCAUUCCUAUUUGAAAAGGUUCAGCGGCCAAGGUUCUACACAACUACAAAAACUCCCGGAACUCCAAGAAUGGUCCUUCUUAAAACCAUUUUGAGAAGGGGAAACUCUAAUUUCAUUGUGAAGCAUGUUCAAGAGUCCCAGGACAACUCUAGAAAAGGCCUGGUUUUGAGUCACCACCAACUGAGCCGAUGGCAACUGAGACGAUGCAGGUGAGGAGAUGACUAUCCUGAAUCAGUGCCUGGAUGCAGUAACUGACUGGAUGAAGGUGAACAAGCAGAGACUCAAUGCAGAGGCUGGCCUACAGUGAACUACAAGGACCUCCAGGGUAUACCAACCACAGCUUUGAAAAUCACCGACUUUUACCUGUGGAUCUUUACCCAUGAGGAUCUGGCUGUGUGGUGCCUCCUUGAAAAGCUUGAAUUACAA